This 919-nucleotide ribosomal RNA is filed under the name uncultured Flavobacteriaceae bacterium. Its description in RNAcentral is "bacterial SSU rRNA". It matches the Rfam family "Bacterial small subunit ribosomal RNA", at positions 44 to 971 of the family's 1533-position model. Lineage: Bacteria; Pseudomonadati; Bacteroidota; Flavobacteriia; Flavobacteriales; Flavobacteriaceae. The record is from RNAcentral.
CGGCUUACCAUGCAAGUCGAGGGGUAUAGUUCUUCGGAGCUAGAGACCGGCGCACGGGUGCGUAACGCGUAUGCAAUCUACCUUUUACAGAGGGAUAGCCCAGAGAAAUUUGGAUUAAUACCUCAUAGUAUGUGAGAAUCGCAUGGUUUUCACAUUAAAGUCACAACGGUAAAAGAUGAGCAUGCGUCCCAUUAGCUAGAUGGUAAGGUAACGGCUUACCAUGGCAACGAUGGGUAGGGGUCCUGAGAGGGAGAUCCCCCACACUGGUACUGAGACACGGACCAGACUCCUACGGGAGGCAGCAGUGAGGAAUAUUGGACAAUGGGCGCAAGCCUGAUCCAGCCAUGCCGCGUGCAGGAUGACGGUCCUAUGGAUUGUAAACUGCUCUUGUACAGGAAGAAACACUCCCUCGUGAGGGAGCUUGACGGUACUGUAAGAAUAAGGAUCGGCUAACUCCGUGCCAGCAGCCGCGGUAAUACGGAGGAUCCAAGCGUUAUCCGGAAUCAUUGGGUUUAAAGGGUCCGUAGGCGGUUUAAUAAGUCAGUGGUGAAAGCCCAUCGCUCAACGGUGGAACGGCCAUUGAUACUGUUAAACUUGAAUUAUUAGGAAGUAACUAGAAUAUGUAGUGUAGCGGUGAAAUGCUUAGAGAUUACAUGGAAUACCAAUUGCGAAGGCAGGUUACUACUAAUGGAUUGACGCUGAUGGACGAAAGCGUGGGUAGCGAACAGGAUUAGAUACCCUGGUAGUCCACGCCGUAAACGAUGGAUACUAGCUGUUGGGAGCAAUCUCAGUGGCUAAGCGAAAGUGAUAAGUAUCCCACCUGGGGAGUACGUUCGCAAGAAUGAAACUCAAAGGAAUUGACGGGGGCCCGCACAAGCGGUGGAGCAUGUGGGUUAAUUCGAUGAUACGCGAGGAACCU